UCAAUAAGCGGAGGAAAAGAAACUAACAAGGAUUCCCCUAGUAACUGCGAGUGAAGCGGGAAAAGCUCAAAUUUAAAAUCUGGUGGUCUUUUGGCCAUCCGAGUUGUAAUUUAGAGAAGCGUCUUCCGCGCUGGACCGUACACAAGUCUCCUGGAACGGAGCGUCAUAGAGGGUGAGAAUCCCGUCUUUGGUACGGACCCCCAGGGCUUCUGUGAUGCGCUCUCGAAGAGUCGAGUUGUUUGGGAAUGCAGCUCAAAAUGGGUGGUGAACUCCAUCUAAAGCUAAAUAUUGGCGAGAGACCGAUAGCGAACAAGUACCGUGAGGGAAAGAUGAAAAGCACUUUGGAAAGAGAGUGAAACAGUACGUGAAAUUGUUGAAAGGGAAACGCUUAAAGUCAGUCGCGUCGACCGAGACUCAGCCUCGCUCCGGCUUGGUGUAUUUCUCGGCCCGACGGGUCAGCGUCAAUUUGGUCCCUCGGAUAAUGGCAACGGAAAGGUGGCACCUUUGCGGGUGUGUUAUAGUCUUUUGUCGCAUGCGAGGGGCGAGAUUGAGGAACUCAGCACGCGCGCCCUUCUGGGUGUGUCGGGGCCUCGGCCCACGCCACGUGCUUAGGAUGCUGGCGUAAUGGCUUUAAACGACCCGUCUUGAAACACGGACCAAGGAGUCUAACAUGCCCGCGAGUGUUCGGGUGGAAAACCCGUGCGCGUAAUGAAAGUGAAAGUUGGGACCUUCGUCGUGAAGGGCACCGACGCCCGGACCAGACCUUCUGUGACGGAUCUGCGGUGGAGCGUGCAUGUUGGGACCCGAAAGAUGGUGAACUAUGCCUGAAUAGGGUGAAGCCAGAGGAAACUCUGGUGGAGGCUCGUAGCGAUUCUGACGUGCAAAUCGAUCGUCAAAUUUGGGUAUAGGGGCGAAAGACUAAUCGAACCAUCUAGUAGCUGGUCUGC
This 947-nucleotide ribosomal RNA is filed under the name Russula delica. RNAcentral's name for it is "eukaryotic LSU rRNA". It matches the Rfam family "Eukaryotic large subunit ribosomal RNA", at positions 43 to 959 of the family's 3401-position model. The record is from RNAcentral. Lineage: Eukaryota; Fungi; Basidiomycota; Agaricomycetes; Russulales; Russulaceae.